GGGGGUGAAUCGGGCCUGGUGGCUCGCCUGGUCUUCAAAACCUGUGUGACGUCUGAAUAAGGCGUUGGGUGGGUUCGAUUCCCACGCACUCCCGCCA
Molecule: transfer RNA, 97 nt
Filed under: Armatimonadota bacterium
Lineage: Bacteria; Bacillati; Armatimonadota
Description: Armatimonadetes bacterium (anaerobic digester metagenome) tRNA-Sec
Rfam family: Selenocysteine transfer RNA
Source: RNAcentral